GACGAACGCUGGCGGCGUGCUUAACACAUGCAAGUCGAACGGAAAGGCUCCAGCUUGCUGGUGUACUCGAGUGGCGAACGGGUGAGUAACACGUGGGUAAUCCGCCCUGCACUUUGGGAUAAGCCUGGGAAACUGGGUCUAAUACUGGACAUGACCUUUCUCCCUAUGGGGUUUGGUGGAAAGUUUUUCGGUGUAGGAUGAGCCCGCGGCCUAUCAGCUUGUUGGUGGGGUGAUGGCCUACCACGGCGACGACGGGUAGCCGGCCUGAGAGGGUGAUCGGCCACAUUGGGACUGAGAUACGGCCCAGACUCCUACGGGAGGCAGCAGUGGGGAAUAUUGCACAAUGGGCGGAAGCCUGAUGCAGCGACGCCGCGUGAGGGAUGACGGCCUUCGGGUUGUAAACCUCUUUCAGCAGGGACGAAGCGUAAGUGACGGUACCUGCAGAAGAAGCACCGGCUAACUACGUG
This 467-nucleotide ribosomal RNA is filed under the name uncultured bacterium. RNAcentral describes it as "partial 16S ribosomal RNA". It matches the Rfam family "Bacterial small subunit ribosomal RNA", at positions 28 to 507 of the family's 1533-position model. The record is from RNAcentral.